CAUUCACCUUGUUUAUGAUGCUUGUUUUGUGUUCUAUGGAGAUGUUUUGUGUUUUUGCAUUCAAAAGGACUACUGUUGAAAAACCCUACUUUAGUUGUCCAGGCCAAUCAUGGUAGCAUAUUCAGAAAUGGUUAAUGGUUAAUGGUUAAAAGGAAAAAGAAAGUCUCUUAAAGAAGACCUACUCAUCAUGUAAACGUCAGACUUUUUUUUUUAUCUUCC
Molecule: non-coding RNA, 219 nt
Organism: Pelobates cultripes (western spadefoot toad)
Lineage: Eukaryota; Metazoa; Chordata; Amphibia; Anura; Pelobatidae
Source: the annotation of a GenBank genome assembly